This is an RNA transcript of Osmia lignaria (orchard mason bee), 4367 nucleotides long. RefSeq lists it as uncharacterized. The record is from RefSeq and is a predicted model, not a curated record. Lineage: Eukaryota; Metazoa; Arthropoda; Insecta; Hymenoptera; Megachilidae.
GAGCCGAGAUCGCCCGAAUGCUCCGAUCCCCCGAUAGCUCCGUUUGACAUCGUCUGUUGUGUACCUACUUUCGUGUCUAACCUACGUAUAUACGCACUUUACCGUAUAUACCCUUUAUUAUGUGAUUAUUUUCUGUAGUGAUUAUACUCACGAUUUUCUGUUUCGAAUAUGUAUUUACAAAGGCACACGAACAGCUCACGAGACGUAGUUUCCUUCUCUUCGCGUCCUCCUACAAGCACUUCAGUUUAAAAGUGGAGGCUUGCGAAGAAAUUAUCACAGCGUAAAAUCGAAGAAAAGAGGCUAAACCUACGCGAUAAGAGGUUUACUUACAAAGGUAGAGCGAUACCGUGGAACGAGCGGCACGGUUUACACCAGAUGCAGCCUCGAAGCGUGCAACUGCACCACCAUGUGCAUUAUGACAAUGCUUUCCUAUCGAUGUUUACUCGGCGAUAACGUUGUUGGGUCUUACGAGUACGAUUCAACACGAUGGCGUACGUGACCGAUAUGUCGAAGGUGUACCACCGUUUGGGUCCAAGGGAAGCUGCAACAGUAUAUAAUACCAAAGGAGACGUACUAAGGACCACAGUUUCGGAAUUUAUCAAGUUCGUGCUUAACGAAGACGAGACCCCCCUCUACAACUGGCACUUACUUGAACCAGGCAAAUAUUUUCAAUCCGAAAGAAAUCUGGGUAUAAAUCAAGAGGAGAAGCUGCAACGACAAGUCGAUGGUUCCGACAUGCCCCCAUACUCGAUUCCACCAAGAUCAUCUGGAAUAAUAAAUAGACUUCCGAAGUUUCGUUGCAGAUUAUUGCGAGCGAGUAUUCAAGCAGUAAUUUAAGUGGAGAUGGUCGAGAGGUAUGCAGCGAGAAAGAGAGAACGGGAGAGAGUGUCUGAGGGGUGAAAGUUAUUGAGCCACGAUCGGUUAGAAAAUCAGAUAUGCCGGAGAGUUUCGCUCCUGGGAGGAAGUGGCCCAGCCGGAUGUUUACUUGAAACUCCAACCGCAUCUACGACGGAGCUAAGUGAAGUAAGGUGGGCCGGAAGCUUCUUAAGUAAAACCAUCCCCAUCGUUCUCUCUCCUUUCUUCCUCGAAUCGAAUCAACCCAUUCUGGUGGCGCAUAAAUCCCGCGGAUGGCGUCCCGGAGAUUUGUUUUCUCGUCGUACUUCACGCCUGGACGAGAAUAACGAAGAUUAAUCCCGAUAUUCGUCACAGUUCCUACCGUCGAGGAUAUCCUUACGUUUCGUCGAGUCUGAUCCUCGUCCACGUUGUUCAAGAAAGACGUCGGUGAAUCAUCGAUCAAUCGAUAACAAGGUGAUUGAUUUAAAUUAGAAGAGAUCAUCUAGGAAGUUAAAGGAUGAAUGAAGGCUGGAAGAAAUAAUUCGUAGAAGUUCUUGAACGCCCAGCGUGAAUUGUACGUAGCCAGGGGCGAAACCCACGGCAGCUAGGCAUUCCAAGAAGAAAAUCCAAUAAUACACCGGUAAGUAGUAACAAUGAUUCUCUUUCUGGCCGGCUACGAUUGUUUCGAUUUCAUUGAGGCGUCCAUUGAGACGGGGAUCGAAUGAAACGGGUCAUUGGGUUGAAACAAGAUUGGGAAACAGUGGAGAAAGGCGGGCUGGAUAUUUCAUUGUGAGCCUCGAAACUUCGCCGGUCCCGUAGAAAUUCGUUAAUUAUCAUCGUCCGUGAAACGUCGCUAAUUACUCUUCGCUAUUGUUUCGCUACAAUCCGGCAUCGGGUUAGAAAGAAACUGCUGCUGACCUGCGAUAGCGUAUCUCUGUUCUCUCUUUUCCUUCCCCCGCAAUUUUCCUCCAUAAUCGCCGGCUACAUAAUUAUCUCGUUGCGACGUUUCGCGACACGGAAAAGCGCAGUGUAUCCCGUCAGAUUUAUUUAGCACUCCCGCCUCAUCCAGUAUUCUUUUUGAGAAAAUCCGCAACGAAUCCAAGCCGAUACACGCGUUUUCUACCAUCUGAUUAUUAAUUUCUCCCUUGCAUCUCGUGUUCGUUUAUCGAGACUGUCCGCGUGAAUAAUGACGUGACGGGACGCGACACGAAUGUCAGUGUCCUUGGUGGGCAGGAAGGUAAACGGGGCGAAGAGGAACCGUGAAAAAUAGAAGACGGUACCGGUUAAAAUGGUCGAGCAACAUUAUAUCGUGCAACACGGCCGUGACAUAAACGCGACUGUCGGUAUUUCCAAUGCUAUGUAUGCUAGAGAGGUCUGCUUCGUCGUCGCAUGGUAAAUUUUUCAUUACUCCCUGACGCUUUCUACGUGCGAGAAAAUGACGGGGGCACUCGCGUAUGAAAUUGAAAUACGUCUGCCGAUCGAACGGCCGAUCCAUUUUCCGGGCUACGCUCGAGGGCCCGGCCGAGGCGAAGCUUCGCGACGCCGACGCCGACGCCACGUAAAAAUGACAUUGGAUCACUAGUUUUCAUUGCAUUCGGCAUCGACACUUUCCCUGUGCACGCUCUUGGCUAGCCAUUCGCGAUCAUUCUCGUAGAAAGUAGCUGAUAUUUUUUAUAGAAACAUGUCUUGUGGAUAAAAUAGAAAAAGAUCGGUUCGAAAGGUCGGUUCGCGAAAACGUUGCCACGUGCAUGCGAGAUUAAGUUGGAAAAUAAGGUAUUUUCUUGGAAAGGGUUUCUUGCUGAAGAUUGAUAUCGCGUUCGGAAGUUUGUUCGGAAGCGUGAACGUGAAGGCUCGACCGCGCCGGCUUCUAUUUUCAUUCACGUUUCCUGUAUUUCGCACGAAAUUGAAACGUCGAAACGCGCGCCGUUCACCGGAUAUGAUUUAUAUCGAGCAUUUAUGGAGUCUGGAGGUUUCUGAUCGUUUCUUUACAAGUUGCAGCUUAAAAAAGAACGAAGGUAAAGCUUUCUUCGAUUCUUUCUUCGAUACUUUUGGUUAUAACUCGUGUUACCUUGCGCUCGUUUUGCUCCCUUUCACCUGAUCGUACAUCUUUCAUCGCGCGGAUGAUUUCGUCUUCGUUUUCCGAUUUACAUGCUUCUGAUAGGAAUCGUUUCCUCGAACGUUUCCGAGCGUAGAGGCCAGCAUUUCGGCAGAGAGUCCACUGUCUUCGUGGGUUCGACGAGUAAAAUCAGGCCACGAACGGUUACGAGCAGAUUUCCACGAGAUAGUCGGUCGUCCUCCUCUUUUUCCAGCUUUCCUCUUUCGCUCAAUUUCAUCUAACGGCCUUGCUCACGUCGAGAAUUACUUCCUGGGAAUCUUCGAAAAUGAUGACCCCCACGGAAUUCCGAGGGAAAGCUUCGACUCGGCGAAGCGGUAUCGCUCGGAUUCUCUUCCACCUUCGUUCGAUUAACACGCCGCAUUUAAUUUCGUCCAGGUUUCUCGUUUCUUUCAACCGCCCGGCCGACAGGAAACAGCCGGGAACAAUGACAGUUUCGUAGUUUCAGCGACGUUGUUUUGCAUUGGAACUCGAAAAACCCGGACCCUUUCAACGGCCUCGUGUUCCCCAUUAAUUAUUUAUAUUCAAUUAAAAGUUUUUGCUCAUGUUCCAAGAGUGCAGGGUAAACGUUUCGAUUAACUCCACUACCGGCUAAAUAAAAGCCGCCCCCGUUGCUGAAGGGUGCCUUGUGAGCGUAUUAAGCCCAUUGUACUCGUGCUUGCAGCGAAUCGAACGGUAAGAGAGAGAGAAAGAGAGAAAAGAAUGGGUAUUGCGUAAAUACGGGGAACGAGAGUCGUUCAAUCGACGUGCCCUAUGUUAAUCAGAUAGAACCGGUCUGUUUGAACGAUCAAUCUUGUUUGAACGGUAAAAAUGGUGCCAUUUUGACAGAUGAAAGAUUACGUCAAUAUCAUACAAAUUCUAGAUCAUUAAACUAAACGUCCCUAUAUAAAAUAAAUAAUGCUAUAUUUCUAAUUUAAAAAAAAUGAAAAUUAUUUUGCUCUAAAAACUUGAAAAAAUAACGUUAGGUUUAAUCGUUUAACCUUGAGCAGAAUAUAUUUCUUCUCUAGACACUUUUCACUAGGAAUAAAAUAAUUACUUGAGAUGCUAAGUUAUGGUGAGUCACCCUGAACGGUGCACCCUAUUUGAGAAAACAGCGUUCGUGAAGGGAGGCACGUUUCCAUUUUAUCUUCUGCCAUAUCGUUCCAGUCCAGAAAAAGAAGAAUGAUGCUGAUUGUGAGUAAGAAUCACGAAGGGUGGGCGAAACGAAGGGUUAACUCGGAGAUACUUCGAAGUUAAUUGAAUGCUGGAUAAACAAGUCUAGCAGUGUCGUCAAUAACUCGCUAAACGCUCGGUUCUUUAAUUAAAAUGUUACUGCCAGGGAGGAUCUUGUUUUCUAGCUUCCAAGUUAUUUACAUUUUCGUCUACGUAAAAGUGUAAUCUGUUCAUGCUUAAUUACUGAAUAUAUUUUUCUAAUAUAAAA